AUGCUGCUGGGCUCCUCCUUCGCGUCCCCGUUCACCCAGCUCCACCUCUCGCCGGGCCCCAAUGCGGGGUCGACGGCGCGGCCGGCGGCGGGGCUGGUGCUGAGGAUCGAGGCGGCGAAGCAGCUGACGGGGCGGGUGGUGACGACCAAGGCGAACAAGACGGUGGGGGUGGAGGUGGCGCGGCUGAAGCAGCACCCCAAGUACCACCGCCGGGAGAAGAUCAAGAAGAAGUACCAGGCGCACGACCCCGACAACCAGUUCAAGGUCGGCGACGUCGUCGAGCUCGUCCGCUCCCGCCCCAUCUCCAAGACCAAGCACUUCCUCGCCGUCCCCGUCCCGCCCCGCGACACCCGCCGCAAGGCCCAGCUCCUCCCCCCGCUCGAGUCCCAGUCCGGCGACGACUCCGCCGCCGCCGAAGAGACCGCUGCUGCCUAG
Molecule: ribosomal RNA, 435 nt
Filed under: Triticum aestivum (bread wheat)
Lineage: Eukaryota; Viridiplantae; Streptophyta; Magnoliopsida; Poales; Poaceae
Description: partial small subunit ribosomal RNA
Source: RNAcentral